AUUGAACGCUGGCGGCGUGCUUAACACAUGCAAGUCGAUCGGUAACAGGUGUAGCAAUACAUGCUGACGAGAGGCGGACGGGUGAGUAAUGCUUGGGAAUCUGCCUAUUAGUGGGGGACAACCCGGGGAAACGUCGGGCUAAUACCGCAUACGCUCUACGGAGGAAAGCCGGGGACCGCAAGGCCUGGCGCUAAUAGAUGAGCCCAAGUCGGAUUAGCUAGUUGGUAGGGUAACGGCCUACCAAGGCGACAAUCCGUAGCUGGUCUGAGAGGACGACCAGCCACACCGGAACUGAGACACGGUCCGGACUCCUACGGGAGGCAGCAGUGGGGAAUAUUGGACAAUGGGGGCAACCCUGAUCCAGCGACGCCGCGUGGGUGAAGAAGGCCUGCGGGUUGUAAAGCCCUUUCGGUGGGG
Molecule: ribosomal RNA, 417 nt
Filed under: uncultured bacterium
Lineage: Bacteria
Description: bacterial SSU rRNA
Rfam family: Bacterial small subunit ribosomal RNA
Source: RNAcentral